UAGGAAUAAUAAAGUUCUGGCAUCUGAGCUAAAAGCUAUUGGGAUUACAACUAAUAUUAUUUGGAGUUUUGAAUUCAAGUAUAGUUGUCUGAUGGAUCAUUAAGAUAGGAAUCCACCAUAAGAGGAAAAGCCACAAACUACUCAGAAUCCUGUAUUGGGACAGGUGAAGAUUCUUAUCUAGAAAAAAAUGGAAAGGGCAAUCUCAACACAGCUGGGAUGAGAUCCUUCUGACUUAUGAAAUUGUUAUCAUCAAGAAAGACAAGUGGUAGAUGUCAGGAGACUAACAAACAUUCAUGGGUCCUGGAAGGGGUGAGGAGAAUGAGAAGUGGGGAGAAGAAUGACACUGAAGCUGGCAGCCAUCAGAGACUAUUGGAAUACCACAAAUUACCCAAAAUGCCAUCUUCCAGCUGUCCAGAGACUAUGCUACAUGGAGAGAACCUUACCAAGUAUCAGGCUCCUUGGAAACAGAUAAAAUUCCACCAGCAGCCCUUUCCAUCACCACAACAACUCCAUCAUCAAGGCCAUUCCACUGCCUUCUUCCCUCUCUCAAUAAAGCUUUCUCCCUCACCAUGGAGAUUGUCUGUGCCAUUGAUUCUUUGGACAAGACCUCAUUCUUGUUCCCCAGCAUCAAUUUCACCUAGUUUUGAGAGGAUAUUUGU
Molecule: non-coding RNA, 659 nt
Organism: Monodelphis domestica (gray short-tailed opossum)
Lineage: Eukaryota; Metazoa; Chordata; Mammalia; Didelphimorphia; Didelphidae
Source: RefSeq, a predicted model, not a curated record